RNAcentral lists this ribosomal RNA (839 nucleotides) under uncultured bacterium. Its description in RNAcentral is "bacterial SSU rRNA". It matches the Rfam family "Bacterial small subunit ribosomal RNA", at positions 56 to 888 of the family's 1533-position model. The record is from RNAcentral.
UGCAGUCGNNCGGUAGCACAGAGAGCUUGCUCUCGGGUGACGAGUGGCGGACGGGUGAGUAAUGUCUGGGAAACUGCCUGAUGGAGGGGGAUAACUACUGGAAACGGUAGCUAAUACCGCAUAACGUCNCAAGACCAAAGAGGGGGACCUUCGGGCCUCUUGCCAUCAGAUGUGCCCAGAUGGGAUUAGCUAGUAGGUGGGGUAACGGCUCACCUAGGCGACGAUCCCUAGCUGGUCUGAGAGGAUGACCAGCCACACUGGAACUGAGACACGGUCCAGACUCCUACGGGAGGCAGCAGUGGGGAAUAUUGCACAAUGGGCGCAAGCCUGAUGCAGCCAUGCCGCGUGUAUGAAGAAGGCCUUCGGGUUGUAAAGUGCUCUCAGCGAGGAGGAAGGCAUUAAGGUUAAUAACCUUAGUGAUUGACGUUACUCGCAGAAGAAGCACCGGCUAACUCCGUGCCAGCAGCCGCGGUAAUACGGAGGGUGCAAGCGUUAAUCGGAAUUACUGGGCGUAAAGCGCACGCAGGCGGUCUGUCAAGUCGGAUGUGAAAUCCCCGGGCUCAACCUGGGAACUGCAUUCGAAACUGGCAGGCUAGAGUCUUGUAGAGGGGGGUAGAAUUCCAGGUGUAGCGGUGAAAUGCGUAGAGAUCUGGAGGAAUACCGGUGGCGAAGGCGGCCCCCUGGACAAAGACUGACGCUCAGGUGCGAAAGCGUNNNAGCAAACAGGAUUAGAUACCCUGGUAGUCCACGCCGUAAACGAUGUCGACUUGGAGGUUGUUCCCUUGAGGAGUGGCUUCCGGAGCUAACGCGUUAAGUCGACCGCCUGGGGAGUACGGCCG